CCCUUAGAUGUUCUGGGCCGCACGCGCGCUACACUGAUGCAUUCAACGAGUUUCUUCCUGGUCCGAGAGGAAUGGGUAACCUUUUGAAAGUGCAUCGUGAUAGGGAUAGACUAUUGCAAUUAUUGAUCUUCAACGAGGAAUUCCUAGUAGACGUAGUUCAUCAGACUGCGUCGAUUACGUCCCUGCCCUUUGUACACACCGCCCGUCGCUCCUACCGAUUGAAUGCCCAGGUGAGCCAUUCGGACUUUCAUCAUGCUGGUUUCCAGUUUUGAUGAAGGAAAGUCUUGCGAACCUUAUCAUUUAGAGGAAGGAGAAGUCGUAACA
This 324-nucleotide ribosomal RNA is filed under the name uncultured eukaryote. RNAcentral's name for it is "partial 18S ribosomal RNA". It matches the Rfam family "Eukaryotic small subunit ribosomal RNA", at positions 1470 to 1796 of the family's 1831-position model. The record is from RNAcentral.